Long non-coding RNA from Rosa rugosa (rugosa rose), 911 nucleotides. RefSeq lists it as uncharacterized. The transcript has 3 exons. NCBI's taxonomy places the organism in Eukaryota, Viridiplantae, Streptophyta, Magnoliopsida, Rosales, Rosaceae. The record is from RefSeq and is a predicted model, not a curated record.
UGGCUUCACACCUUGAUCCACGUUGCAAUUUUAACUGCCCAUUGCGGGUUCGUACAAAAAAACGAGUAAAGGCCGCUGAUGAAAACAGAAGAGCAAUUGGGAGAUUGAUCAAAAACAGACCGGGGGGUCAUGACCCAAACAGAAACAGGAACACUUGAGAAAUUCAAUGGGGUUCAUUGCAUUUGAGUCUUCUCUGGCCCAUAUGUUUGGUUUAGUUUGGUUUCUUAGACAAAUUGGCGGAGUUGAUGCAGAGAGAAUGAAUUUGGGUAAAGUAUAAUGGUCAGCAGUGGCUUAGUUUCCCAUCUUUGAUAUUUUGAUCAUUAUUUAUUUUCCCGUUUCAUAAUCCUCCUCUAUAAACUUUGUUUCUUUUACCAGCAUUUCAUGUUGCAUUGUUUAGUUUUGGAUGAACUAGAAUUCAUUCUUUUCGUUUAAACUUCUCUAUAGUGCUUAAUUUACUUGGUAUGUAGCUUUUGCUUUAUCUCUCGGUGCAUUGACAAUGUUGGAGGUGACUGCUUCUUUGAAUUUCAAUUUCAAUUGUCCCAUACGGUUUAUACAAAAGGAGGAAAGCAGAUAACCAGCCAAGAAUAAUGAUAAGUCUCUCUUGAACAUUUUUCACUGUUCUGUCCGUAAUUUUGAUUUCAGGUGUGUUUUUGUUUAUUUCAUUUGUUCUCCAUUGCACCAAUUUGUAUAUAUAUAUUUUUUUUUUCUCUUUUUUUUUUUUGUGUGUCACUACUUUGGGUUAUGCAGAUACGGUACGUUGUUGCUAUGUCAGGUACUCCUCUUCCUUACCUUCUGUUUUGUUGACCAAAAAGGUCUGAAUAAGCAAACAUCAGUUUUGUUAUGUUUCUAUGGAGAAUAUGAGUCUAGGGAAUUGUCUUCAGUUCUGUCAUCAGUUUUUUUUUUUUUUUGUU